This 465-nucleotide ribosomal RNA is filed under the name Vreelandella stevensii. RNAcentral's name for it is "partial 16S ribosomal RNA". It matches the Rfam family "Bacterial small subunit ribosomal RNA", at positions 338 to 795 of the family's 1533-position model. Lineage: Bacteria; Pseudomonadati; Pseudomonadota; Gammaproteobacteria; Oceanospirillales; Halomonadaceae. The record is from RNAcentral.
CCUACGGGCGGCUGCAGUGGGGAAUAUUGGACAAUGGGCGAAAGCCUGAUCCAGCCAUGCCGCGUGUGUGAAGAAGGCCUUCGGGUUGUAAAGCACUUUCAGUGGGGAAGAAAGCCUUGGGGCUAAUACCCUCGAGGAAGGACAUCACCCACAGAAGAAGCACCGGCUAACUCCGUGCCAGCAGCCGCGGUAAUACGGAGGGUGCGAGCGUUAAUCGGAAUUACUGGGCGUAAAGCGCGCGUAGGCGGUCUGAUAAGCCGGUUGUGAAAGCCCCGGGCUCAACCUGGGAACGGCAUUCGGAACUGUCAGGCUAGAGUGCAGGAGAGGAAGGUAGAAUUCCCGGUGUAGCGGUGAAAUGCGUAGAGAUCGGGAGGAAUACCAGUGGCGAAGGCGGCCUUCUGGACUGACACUGACGCUGAGGUGCGAAAGCGUGGGUAGCAAACAGGAUUAGAUACCCGAGUAGUC